GUCCUGUGACUGCGUACCUUUUGUAUAAUGGGUCAGCGACUUAUAUUCAGUGGCAAGGUUAACCAUCUAGGGGAGCCGUAGGGAAACCGAGUCUUAACUGGGCGUUCAGUCUCUGGAUAUAGACCCGAAACCAGGUGAUCUAGCCAUGGGCAGGUUGAAGGUUGAGUAACAUCAACUGGAGGACCGAACCGACUAAUGUUGAAAAAUUAGCGGAUGACUUGUGGCUAGGGGUGAAAGGCCAAUCAAACCUGGAGAUAGCUGGUUCUCCCCGAAAGCUAUUUAGGUAGCGCCUCGGACGAAUACUACUGGGGGUAGAGCACUGUUAAGGCUAGGGGGUCAUCCCGACUUACCAACCCUUUGCAAACUCCGAAUACCAGUAAGUACUAUCCGGGAGACACACGGCGGGUGCUAACGUCCGUCGUGGAGAGGGAAACAACCCAGACCGCCAGCUAAGGUCCCAAAUUACUACUAAGUGGGAAACGAUGUGGGAAGGCUCAGACAGCCAGGAUGUUGGCUUAGAAGCAGCCAUCAUUUAAAGAAAGCGUAAUAGCUCACUGGUCGAGUCGGCCUGCGCGGAAGAUGUAACGGGGCUAAGUA
This 597-nucleotide ribosomal RNA is filed under the name Vibrio alginolyticus. Its description in RNAcentral is "partial 23S ribosomal RNA". It matches the Rfam family "Bacterial large subunit ribosomal RNA", at positions 588 to 1188 of the family's 2925-position model. RNAcentral also lists the same sequence under 1 other name. The record is from RNAcentral. Lineage: Bacteria; Pseudomonadati; Pseudomonadota; Gammaproteobacteria; Vibrionales; Vibrionaceae.